CCUACGGGAGGCUGCAGUGAGGAAUAUUGGUCAAUGGGCGAGAGCCUGAACCAGCCAAGUCGCGUGAAGGAUGACGGCCCUACGGGUUGUAAACUUCUUUUGUCAGGGAGCAAUUGAGUCCACGUGUGGGCUUAGCGAGAGUACCUGCAGAAAAAGCAUCGGCUAACUCCGUGCCAGCAGCCGCGGUAAUACGGAGGAUGCGAGCGUUAUCCGGUUUUAUUGGGUUAAAAGGGUGCGUAGGCGGAAUAUCAAGUCAGCGGUAAAAAUUCGGGGCUCAACCCCGUCGUGCCGUUGAAACUGAUGUUCUGGAGUGGGCGAGAAGUAUGCGGAAUGCGUGGUGUAGCGGUGAAAUGCAUAGAUAUCACGCAGAACUCCGAUUGCGAAGGCAGCAUACCGGCGCCCAACUGACGCUGAAGCACGAAAGCGUGGGUAUCGAACAGGAUUAGAUACCCGAGUAGUC
RNAcentral lists this ribosomal RNA (460 nucleotides) under uncultured bacterium. RNAcentral's name for it is "partial 16S ribosomal RNA". It matches the Rfam family "Bacterial small subunit ribosomal RNA", at positions 338 to 795 of the family's 1533-position model. The record is from RNAcentral.